CAGCAGCCACGGGAAAACCGAGGGUGCAAGCGUUAAUCGGAAUUACUGGGCGUAAAGCGCGCGUAGGUGGUUUGUUAAGUUGGAUGUGAAAUCCCCGGGCUCAACCUGGGAACUGCAUCCAAAACUGGCAAGCUAGAGUAUGGUAGAGGGUGGUGGAAUUUCCUGUGUAGCGGUGAAAUGCGUAGAUAUAGGAAGGAACACCAGUGGCGAAGGCGACCACCUGGACUGAUACUGACACUGAGGUGCGAAAGCGUGGGGAGCAAACAGGAUUAGAUACCCCUGUAGUCCCUGUCUCUUAUAA
This 301-nucleotide ribosomal RNA is filed under the name uncultured bacterium. RNAcentral's name for it is "partial 16S ribosomal RNA". It matches the Rfam family "Bacterial small subunit ribosomal RNA", at positions 509 to 809 of the family's 1533-position model. The record is from RNAcentral.